UCCCUACGGGGGGCUGCAGUGGGGAAUAUUGGACAAUGGGCGCAAGCCUGAUCCAGCCAUGCCGCGUGAGUGAUGAAGGUCUUAGGAUUGUAAAGCUCUUUCACCGGAGAAGAUAAUGACGGUAUCCGGAGAAGAAGCCCCGGCUAACUUCGUGCCAGCAGCCGCGGUAAUACGAAGGGGGCUAGCGUUGUUCGGAAUUACUGGGCGUAAAGCGCACGUAGGCGGAUAUUUAAGUCAGGGGUGAAAUCCCAGAGCUCAACUCUGGAACUGCCUUUGAUACUGGGUAUCUAGAGUAUGGAAGAGGUGAGUGGAAUUCCGAGUGUAGAGGUGAAAUUCGUAGAUAUUCGGAGGAACACCAGUGGCGAAGGCGGCUCACUGGUCCAUUACUGACGCUGAGGUGCGAAAGCGUGGGGAGCAAACAGGAUUAGAUACCCCGGUAGUC
Molecule: ribosomal RNA, 442 nt
Filed under: uncultured Agrobacterium sp.
Lineage: Bacteria; Pseudomonadati; Pseudomonadota; Alphaproteobacteria; Hyphomicrobiales; Rhizobiaceae
Description: bacterial SSU rRNA
Rfam family: Bacterial small subunit ribosomal RNA
Source: RNAcentral